RNAcentral lists this ribosomal RNA (1391 nucleotides) under metagenome. RNAcentral's name for it is "bacterial SSU rRNA". It matches the Rfam family "Bacterial small subunit ribosomal RNA", at positions 135 to 1498 of the family's 1533-position model. The record is from RNAcentral.
AAUCUGGAACAACACUGCCAACGCGGUGCUAAUACCGGAUGUGAUCACUGGGGCGCAUGCUCUGGUGUUUAAAGGUGACCUCUCCAUGGAAGUUACCGUUUCGAGAUGGCCUUGCGUCCCAUUAGCUAGUUGGCGGGGUGACAGCCCACCAAGGCUGUGAUGGGUAGCCGGUCUGAGAGGGCGAUCGGCCACAUUGGGACUGAGACACGGCCCAGACUCCUACGGGAGGCAGCAGUAGGGAAUUUUGCGCAAUGGACGGAAGACUGACGCAGCAACGCCGCGUGAGGGAUGAAGGUCUUCGGAUUGUAAACCUCUGUUGAUUGGGAAGAAUAACGUCGUGGAUAAUAACCACGAGGGAUGACGGCACCAGUCGAGGAAGCCCCGGCUAACUACGUGCCAGCAGCCGCGGUAGUACGUAGGGGGCAAGCGUUGUUCGGAAUUACUGGGCGGAAAGGGAGCGUAGGCGGAUUGGUAAGUUAGGAGUGAAAUCCACAGGCUUAACCUGUGGGUUGCUUUUAAAACUGCCUUUCUUGAGUAUUGGAGAGGAUGAUGGAAUUCCAGGUGUAGCGGUGGAAUGCGUAGAUAUCUGGAAGAACACCAGCUGCGUAGGCGGUCAUCUGGCCAAAUACUGACGCUGAGGCUCGAAAGCUAGGGGAGCAAACAGGAUUAGAUACCCUGGUAGUCCUAGCCGUAAACGAUGGACACUAGAUGUUGGAAGGUUUUUAUCCUUUCAGUGUCGUAGCUAACGUGUUAAGUGUCCCGCCUGGGGAGUACGCUCGCAAGGGUGAAACUCAAAGGAAUUGACGGGGGCCCGCACAAGCGGUGGAGCAUGUGCUUUAAUUCGACAACGCGAAGAACCUUACCUGGGCUUGACAUGGGAAUGAAAGGCUGCAGAGAUGCGGCCCCUUCCGCAAGGAACAUUCUACACAGGUGCUGCAUGGUUGUCGUCAGCUCGUGUCGUGAGAUGUUAGGUUAAGUCCUGCAACGAGCGCAACCCUCGUCCUUAGUUGCCAUCAGGUAACGCUGGGAACUCUAAGGAGACUGCCUGGUUUAACCAGGAGGAAGGUGGGGAUGACGUCAAAUCAUCAUGGCCCUUACGUCCAGGGCUAGACACGUGCUACAAUGGCCGGUACAAUGGGAUGCUACAUCGCAAGAUGAUGCCAAUCCCGGAAAAUCGGUCUCAGUUCGGAUUGAAGUCUGCAAUUUGACUUCAUGAAGCUGGAAUCGCUAGUAAUCGCGGAUCAGCAUGCCGCGGUGAAUACGUUCCCGGGCCUUGUACACACCGCCCGUCAAGCCAUGAAAGGUGGGAGUACCCAAAGUCGCCUAUUUAACCGCAAGGGAGAUAGCGCCUAAGGUAAGACCACUGAUUGGGGCUAAGUCGAAACAAGGUA